UUUCCGUAGGUGAACCUGCGGAAGGAUCAUUAUCGUACAAAAUGUGAGGGGCAUGCGAGGGCUGUCGCUGACCCAAAAGUCUUGCACGCCCGCGUGUGUCCUCUUACAUAAUAAUCCAUCUCACCUUUUGUGCAUCACCGCGUGGGCACCCUUCGGGAUCAUCUCGGAGGGGGGCUCGCGUUUUGACACAAACCCCCCUUAUAAAAGUGUAGAAUGACCACAUUUAUGCAAUAAAUACAACUUUCAACAACGGAUCUCUUGGCUCUC
RNAcentral lists this unclassified non-coding RNA (267 nucleotides) under plant metagenome. RNAcentral's name for it is "partial contains small subunit ribosomal RNA, internal transcribed spacer 1, and 5.8S ribosomal RNA". The record is from RNAcentral.